CCUACGGGUGGCAGCAGUGGGGAAUAUUGCACAAUGGCGGAAACCCUGAUGCAGCGACGUCGCGUGAGUGAUGAAGUAAUUCUUUAUGUAAAGCUCUAUCUGCAGGGAAGAAAAUGACGGUACCUGAGUAAGAAUCCCCGGCUAACUACGUGCCAGCAGCCGCGGUAAUAAGGCGGGGGCAAGCGUUAUCCGGAUUUACUGGGUGUAAAGGGAGCGUAGACGGCAGUGCAAGUCUGGAGUGAAAGGCGGGGGCUCAACCCCCGGACUGCUCUGGAAACUGUACGGCUGGAGUGCAGGAGAGGUAAGUGGAAUUCCUAGUGUAGCGGUGAAAUGCGUAGAUAUUAGGAGGAACACCAGUGGCGAAGGCGGCUUACUGGACUGUAACUGACGUUGAGGCUCGAAAGCGUGGGGAGCAAACAGGAUUAGAUACCCUUGUAGUC
RNAcentral lists this ribosomal RNA (440 nucleotides) under uncultured bacterium. Its description in RNAcentral is "partial 16S ribosomal RNA". It matches the Rfam family "Bacterial small subunit ribosomal RNA", at positions 338 to 795 of the family's 1533-position model. The record is from RNAcentral.